This 1176-nucleotide ribosomal RNA is filed under the name Salmonella enterica subsp. enterica serovar Stanley. Its description in RNAcentral is "partial 23S ribosomal RNA". It matches the Rfam family "Bacterial large subunit ribosomal RNA", at positions 938 to 2096 of the family's 2925-position model. Lineage: Bacteria; Pseudomonadati; Pseudomonadota; Gammaproteobacteria; Enterobacterales; Enterobacteriaceae. The record is from RNAcentral.
ACCAACCCGAUGCAAACUGCGAAUACCGGAGAAUGUUAUCACGGGAGACACACGGCGGGUGCUAACGUCCGUCGUGAAGAGGGAAACAACCCAGACCGCCAGCUAAGGUCCCAAAGUCAUGGUUAAGUGGGAAACGAUGUGGGAAGGCCCAGACAGCCAGGAUGUUGGCUUAGAAGCAGCCAUCAUUUAAAGAAAGCGUAAUAGCUCACUGGUCGAGUCGGCCUGCGCGGAAGAUGUAACGGGGCUAAACCAUGCACCGAAGCUGCGGCAGCGACACUGUGUGUUGUUGGGUAGGGGAGCGUUCUGUAAGCCUGUGAAGGUGUGUCGUGAGGCAUGCUGGAGGUAUCAGAAGUGCGAAUGCUGACAUAAGUAACGAUAAAGCGGGUGAAAAGCCCGCUCGCCGGAAGACCAAGGGUUCCUGUCCAACGUUAAUCGGGGCAGGGUGAGUCGACCCCUAAGGCGAGGCCGAAAGGCGUAGUCGAUGGGAAACGGGUUAAUAUUCCCGUACUUGGUGUUACUGCGAAGGGGGGACGGAGAAGGCUAUGUUGGCCGGGCGACGGUUGUCCCGGUUUAAGCGUGUAGGUGUGUGUUCCAGGUAAAUCCGGUUCACUUUAACACUGAGGCGUGACGACGAGGCACUACGGUGCUGAAGCAACAAAUGCCCUGCUUCCAGGAAAAGCCUCUAAGCAUCAGGUAACAUCAAAUCGUACCCCAAACCGACACAGGUGGUCAGGUAGAGAAUACCAAGGCGCUUGAGAGAACUCGGGUGAAGGAACUAGGCAAAAUGGUGCCGUAACUUCGGGAGAAGGCACGCUGACACGUAGGUGAAGUGAUUUACUCAUGGAGCUGAAGUCAGUCGAAGAUACCAGCUGGCUGCAACUGUUUAUUAAAAACACAGCACUGUGCAAACACGAAAGUGGACGUAUACGGUGUGACGCCUGCCCGGUGCCGGAAGGUUAAUUGAUGGGGUCAGCGCAAGCGAAGCUCCUGAUCGAAGCCCCGGUAAACGGCGGCCGUAACUAUAACGGUCCUAAGGUAGCGAAAUUCCUUGUCGGGUAAGUUCCGACCUGCACGAAUGGCGUAAUGAUGGCCAGGCUGUCUCCACCCGAGACUCAGUGAAAUUGAACUCGCUGUGAAGAUGCAGUGUACCCGCGGCAAGACGGAAAGACCCCGUGA